AGAUUGUUAAGUUUCCAUAAUGUUUUGUGUUCUGUUAACAUCAUAACCAAAAUACUUUAUCCUACUUUUUAUGUGUGCAGAUUGAAUACGCAUAAGAUUGGUAGCGGGGAAGAUGGUAUAUAUACGCUCUUCUAUGAAGACUUUUUGUUUGGAUAUAUGUUUCUAUGAAGACUUCUUUUUUGGAUGAAGUUCCGAGUCUUCUUUUUUGGAUACAUGCUUCUAUGAAGACUUCUUUUUUGGUUGAAGUUCCGAGUUUUCUUUUUCAUUUUAAUGAUGCUACCGAACUAUGAUGAACAUAUAUGGUAUGGUCUACCUUUCAUAUUUUUGUCAUGGGAACAUUGAUGCUUUAGAUCCUAUGGUUGAAUGGACAUUUGGUGUAGAAUACAUAGUUCUUGUAGUUAAUGGAUGUCUAGUUUGGCACGUGAUUAUAUUGGUUUAUGAAAAUAUGUUAGC
Long non-coding RNA from Rhododendron vialii, 453 nucleotides. RefSeq lists it as uncharacterized. Lineage: Eukaryota; Viridiplantae; Streptophyta; Magnoliopsida; Ericales; Ericaceae. The record is from RefSeq and is a predicted model, not a curated record. The transcript is spliced from 2 exons.